RNAcentral lists this ribosomal RNA (500 nucleotides) under uncultured bacterium. RNAcentral's name for it is "partial 16S ribosomal RNA". It matches the Rfam family "Bacterial small subunit ribosomal RNA", at positions 28 to 523 of the family's 1533-position model. The record is from RNAcentral.
GAUGAACGCUAGCGGCAGGCCUAAUACAUGCAAGCCGAACGGCAAGUUUGAUAGCAAUAUUGAACCUAGAGUGGCGUAAGGGUGCGUAACACGUAUGCAAUCUGCCCUGUACAGGGGAAUAGCUCGGUGAAAACCGGAUUAAUGCCCCGUAAUAUGAUUGUGAGGCAUACCAUAAUCAUUACAGUUGAGGCGGUACAGGAUGAGCAUGCGUAUGAUUAGUGAGUUGGCGGGGUAACGGCCCACCAAGACGAUGAUCAUUAGGGGAACUGAGAGGUUGAUCCCCCACACGGGCACUGAGAUACGGGCCAGACUCCUACGGGAGGCAGCAGUAGGGAAUAUUGGACAAUGGGUGAGAGCCUGAUCCAGCCAUGCCGCGUGCAGGAAGAAGGCCUUCUGGGUUGUAAACUGCUUUUGCCAGGGGAUAAAAAUUCUCAUGCGUGAGAAGUUGAAGGUACCUGGUGAAUAAGCCACGGCUAACUACGUGCCAGCAGCCGCCGUAA